This 253-nucleotide ribosomal RNA is filed under the name uncultured bacterium. Its description in RNAcentral is "partial 16S ribosomal RNA". It matches the Rfam family "Bacterial small subunit ribosomal RNA", at positions 524 to 776 of the family's 1533-position model. The record is from RNAcentral.
GACGGGGGAUGCAAGUGUUAUCCGGAAUCAUUGGGCGUAAAGCGUCUGUAGGUGGUUUACCAAGUCUGUUGUUAAAAAUCAGGGCUUAACCCUGAUCCGGCAACAGAAACUAGUAGGCUGGAGUACGGUAGGGGCAGAGGGAAUUCUCGGUGUAGUGGUGAAAUACGUAGAUAUCGAGAAGAACACCAAUAGCGAAAGCACUCUGCUGGGCCGACACUGACACUGAGAGACGAAAGCUAGGGGAGCGAAUGGG